AGUUUUUUUUUUUUUGGUUUGUUGUUUUUACGAAAUAUUGUUUGUUUUAGUGGAAUAAUUUUGUUAUGGUUUUACUGUGAAGGAUGCUCAUCUUUUUUUAAGGUUUUUUAGUUUUAAUUACCUUUUGUAUCAUGGUUUAACUAAGAUAAAUUUUUAUAUUUUUUCUAGAAAAGAGAGGAUACCUUCUUUAUGCUUGGAGCUUAGAAUUAAUUGUUUAAUAAAUUUUUUUAUAAGAGAAGGUUGUAAUGAGAUGUUUCGUCUUUCUUUAUAGCUAGUUAACUCAUUAAACUUUUUAGAGUUUUUUUAAAGGGGUAAUUUCUUUAAAUUAGAAGAAUUAAAGAUUUAAAUUUAAUUUUAGGAUUAAUAGUUUCUUUUAACAAAAAAUGUUUAAUAACUAAUUAAUUAUUUUUUAGUUUUCUUUUUUUUGGGUUAUUUUAUUUAUUUUUUUUUUGAAUUUUAGAAUGUUAAAAUUAGUAUUUAUUUUUUUCUUUUUUUAUGAACUCGGCAAAAUAAAGUUCGACUGUUUUCAAAAACAUAGUUUCUUGAAUUUUUAUUAGAAAUAGUUUCUGCUCAAUGAUUUUAAAUAGCCGCAGUAAUUUGACUGUGCAAAGGUAGCGUAAUCAUUUGCUCUAUAAUUGAGGGCUGGAAUGAAUGGAUUAACGAGGCUUUAUCUUUAUUAAGAAAGUUAAAAGAAAUUUCUUUAAAAGUGAAGAAGCUUUUAUUUUUUUAGGGGACAAGAAGWCCCUAUUGAGCUUUACUAAUUGUUUGAUUAUUUUUUUUAAUUAGCUUGGUUGGGGCGACCUAGGAAGAAAGAUCUUCCUUUUAUUUAUUUUGAUCCAAGGAUUUUGAUUGAAAGAGUAAGUUACCAUAGGGAUAACAGCGUUAUUUUUUUUGUGAGUUCUUAUUAAAAAAAAAGAUUGCGACCUCGAUGUUGACUUAUUUUUUCCUAAAGGUGUAGUAGCUUUAAGGGUAGGUCUGUUCGACCUUUAAAAUGAUACGUGAGUUGAGUUCAGACCGGCGUGAGCCAGGUUGGUUUCUAUCUUUUAUUUUUUAUUAGGUUUCUUAGUACGAAAGGAUUGGAGAUUAUUUU
RNAcentral lists this ribosomal RNA (1090 nucleotides) under Nemertopsis tetraclitophila. RNAcentral describes it as "16S ribosomal RNA". The stretch from base 733 to 1041 matches the Rfam family "Bacterial large subunit ribosomal RNA", at positions 2079 to 2642 of the family's 2925-position model. The record is from RNAcentral. Lineage: Eukaryota; Metazoa; Nemertea; Enopla; Monostilifera; Emplectonematidae.